This 142-nucleotide ribosomal RNA is filed under the name Pseudomonas aeruginosa. RNAcentral describes it as "partial 16S ribosomal RNA". It matches the Rfam family "Bacterial small subunit ribosomal RNA", at positions 1392 to 1533 of the family's 1533-position model. The record is from RNAcentral. Lineage: Bacteria; Pseudomonadati; Pseudomonadota; Gammaproteobacteria; Pseudomonadales; Pseudomonadaceae. RNAcentral also lists the same sequence under 1 other name.
GCCCGUCACACCAUGGGAGUGGGUUGCUCCAGAAGUAGCUAGUCUAACCGCAAGGGGGACGGUUACCACGGAGUGAUUCAUGACUGGGGUGAAGUCGUAACAAGGUAGCCGUAGGGGAACCUGCGGCUGGAUCACCUCCUUA